This 97-nucleotide signal recognition particle RNA is filed under the name Ruaniaceae bacterium. RNAcentral's name for it is "signal recognition particle sRNA small type". It matches the Rfam family "Bacterial small signal recognition particle RNA". From Rfam's summary of the family: The signal recognition particle (SRP) is a universally conserved ribonucleoprotein involved in the co-translational targeting of proteins to membranes. The record is from RNAcentral. Lineage: Bacteria; Bacillati; Actinomycetota; Actinomycetes; Micrococcales; Ruaniaceae.
UGCGGCUCCUCACGCGGCGCUAUCUGACGGAACUCCCCCAGGGCAGGAAUGCAGCAAGGGUACGUGAGCUCUAGCGGGUGCGUGAGGAGUCCUCUAA